RNAcentral lists this ribosomal RNA (89 nucleotides) under Anopheles subpictus. RNAcentral's name for it is "partial 5.8S ribosomal RNA". Lineage: Eukaryota; Metazoa; Arthropoda; Insecta; Diptera; Culicidae. The record is from RNAcentral.
UGUGAAUUGCAGGACACAUGAACACCGAUAAGUUGAACGCAUAUGGCGCAUCGGACGUUUCAACCCGACCGAUGCACACAUCCUUGAGU